Sander lucioperca (pikeperch) is the source of this 100-nucleotide long non-coding RNA. RefSeq lists it as uncharacterized. The record is from RefSeq and is a predicted model, not a curated record. NCBI's taxonomy places the organism in Eukaryota, Metazoa, Chordata, Actinopteri, Perciformes, Percidae. The transcript is spliced from 3 exons.
CAGCAGUUCCGUGUGUAUUUGUAGCUCAUCCAUUUUGUGUGUGAUCGAUCUGGUAUUGGUGAGUAGAAGGCUUGGCAGUGUCGAUUUUCAAAAGAAAGUA